CGUAGGUGGCAAGCGUUGUCCGGAUUUAUUGGGUUUAAAGGGUGCGUAGGCGGUUCCAUAAGUCAGUGGUGAAAUACGGCAGCUCAACUGUCGAGGUGCCAUUGAUACUGCGGAACUUGAGUACUGAUGAGGUAGGCGGAAUUGACGGUGUAGCGGUGAAAUGCUUAGAUAUCGUCAAGAACACCGAUAGCGAAGGCAGCUUACCAAGCAGUAACUGACGCUGAGGCACGAAAGUGCGGGGAUCAAACAGGAUUAGAUACCCUGGUAGUCCGCACAGUAAACGAUGAUUACUCGAUGUUGGCGAUACACAGCCAGCGUCUUAGCGAAAGCGAUAAGUAAUCCACCUGGGGGGUACGCCCGCAAGGGUG
This 368-nucleotide ribosomal RNA is filed under the name uncultured organism. RNAcentral describes it as "bacterial SSU rRNA". It matches the Rfam family "Bacterial small subunit ribosomal RNA", at positions 526 to 896 of the family's 1533-position model. The record is from RNAcentral.